Molecule: long non-coding RNA, 1946 nt
Organism: Neofelis nebulosa (Clouded leopard)
Lineage: Eukaryota; Metazoa; Chordata; Mammalia; Carnivora; Felidae
Exons: 5
Source: RefSeq, a predicted model, not a curated record
UUAAAUAUGCUAACACACGCAGAAGUGGGUCCUCUGCCUGGCCCCCCAGGGCCCUGCAAAUGAUGAUAUGUGCUUUGUUUUAGGAAACCUGCUGAAAGAGCGGACCUUUGCCGGCCGACUCCAUCUUGUUCUGUGUCCUCCACCUUGAGUGAUUAGGUGCCCGACAUGGCCCCCUUUCUGGGAAAAUCACAGAAACCUCAGACCACGCCUCCUCCCCUUGAGUAACCUCCCGCUCACCCGUUCAAACUUCCCAAUCAAAACAAAACCAGCGACCUGCCUAACAGGACUCCGACCCUUCCCCAGCCAAUCGGCUGAGGCCACGACCCUUCCCCAGCCAAUCGGCUAAGGCCACAACCAUUACCUCACCAACUGCCCCUAGACCCCUGUAAAACCUUUGUGCUUUUGAAACUCGCUGGCUCUCUCUGGCAUCUCACCACUGCAUCGGUGCAGGUAGGGGAUUGAGCUCGAGCUAGCUCGAAUAAAGGCUCUUUGCUUUUGCAUCGGACUCGGCUCCCUGGUGGUCUUUAGGGAUCGCGAAUUCUGGGCAUAACGCUGCCUUGGUUUGGAAGUGUUUUUAAAUGAUUAAGGAGCAGAGAUGUGCAGGGUAAGAAAAGAAGCGACUAAAGUUCUCUAUUUCAUUGGGAAUCCGGCCCGACUUAAAAGUCCUGUUGCGCUGCUAAUCAAAGUAUGAAAUACAGAGAGAGCUUGAAAACAGCAUUAAUCAUUAAUCUGGGGAAGUGCUUACGGUUAUGAAUUCUUCAAGAGUUUCGAAAAACUUGCAGCACUUUUCCAGAUAAUACUCGGGAGGCUGUGUGUUUUUAUUUUUCUUUUCCUCAAGUCCCUUGUGAAGAGAUAACCAAAAAUAGUGUCAGGGUCAAGCUGGUGGGGGGCGGUGGGGGGCGUAGAAUGAGCUAUCCCUUCACAAACUGCUCCGGAAAACAACAUACAAUUAACUGUUUUGGCUCCAUGUCUGAAGUAGGAAUCAGUCGCUAACGUUUUUCAGACUAACGUUCCCAUGAAGCCACAAAGCUGCCCUCAGAUGUGACGGGAUGGGGCACAAACCAGUCUCUGCCAGGUUACAAGCACCCUGCACUUCUUACUUGCCCAGGGUAGCAAAUGCCUUUGAACCACACUCCUUCCGCCUGGAAAGAGCAGUGGAGAUGUGACAACCAUCUGAUGAUUUCGAUCUGGAUAAACAGCUCCGAAGGGACAGGGCUGAAAACAGCGGUUCUCAAAAUGUGGUCCCUGGACCGAAGGCACCAUCACCAUCACCUGAGAACUUGCUAGAAAUGCAAAUCCUGGCUCCAGGCCAGAGCUACUGAACCUGACACUCUGGGGCCUCCAGAGCGGUGAGCGAUACAUGCCUUUUGUUUGAACCCCUCACACCCCAGCCUUUUUAUGAUAGCAUCCCAAAUGGACUAAGACAAGGACAUUAAUGGGAGAACUGGUCCACACAAAGACCUAACAAGGUCAGUUCCUUCAUUUUAACCAAUGCACCCCAGUGAGCCAAGCCCCCUCCCGGGAAGAGCACAGCCAAAGCCUUCCCACACAACGCGUGGUGACUUUUGAGUAGCUUGGACCAAGAUUUAUUGUCAACAGCCCAGUCGGUAACAGCUGUUUGCAUUCCUCAGCCCCUCCAUUGCCUCCUGAAUGUCAAGUCUCUUAGCUGAAAAAGCAUCCUUCAUUUGGCUAUGCCUGCUCGAAAGAAUUACUUUUGCAUGGUAUGAUCUGCUCAGCUAUACCCAUCUUCCACAUCCAGUCCUCCCAAGCCAGACACGAAUACAAAAGAAACGGAAGAUUAAUUUUAGAUAGUACGUGGCUCAAGCCAAUUAACUCAGCGCACACUGGAUGGUCCCUAAUCGCUCUUCUAGCGAGUGGAGGCUCUGCAUUUCCCUUCUUACUGCCUUCUGGCCUCUCUUUGUAAAUACAUACUAGUCAGAAUUGAA